Molecule: long non-coding RNA, 2701 nt
Organism: Cyprinus carpio carpio
Lineage: Eukaryota; Metazoa; Chordata; Actinopteri; Cypriniformes; Cyprinidae
Source: Ensembl
UGUAAUGACACUAAACAGUGAGGGAAGCAGAAAGAGAAGGUAAGUAGCCCACAAAGAUCUUUUUAUUAGGCAUAGUUUAUGGUACUGAGAAUUUGGUCUUAUCCACAGAACAGAGAUCAGUGUGAUGGAGAUACCUAAAAGAAUCCGUAACCCAAUCAAAAAAAGAAAAGUCAGUGAGCCAGUCACUGCCCUACAAAAUGAAGAACAAGAAGGUAAAUAAGUUUAAUAGUUUUGACAGUCAAUUGUAUUAAAGGCUUCAUUUAAAUUAAGUCUGUACGUCAAUAAGCCUUUGUGUGUCCCUUAGGCUUGCCUUGAACCCAUGACUUUUUGAAUUGCUGACACUGCCAAUUAAGCUAUGCUUGCUUACAGUGUUUGGGAAAUUUGUGGUGGUUGGAUGUUAAAUGUAAUGUGCAUAUGUAUUGGGGUUUAUUAUGAAUCAAAAAGCUUCAAUGUUGUAUUCCUAGUGACUAUUUAUUGACUUUGGAUUUAUUCUUACAAUUACAGGACUUUAUGUUUUUCUAACAUUUGAAGAUGGAUAUACUGCAAGAAUUUGUAAGACCUGCGACAUACUUACAGAAAAGGAGUCGCCAAUUACUAGCUUUGAGGGACUCAUUCCAGGAGCUCGAGUUCUUGCAAGAUGGUCAGACAACAAAUUUUAUAAUGCCACUGUAGAUCACAUUGGGUUCUGUGACCAAAAGCAGGACCCGAGAAAGGGUGCAAAGAAGGACAUAAAAAGAAAUUAUGCAUCUGCUGAAUCAUUUUAUAACCAGAAUCGGGUCGCUUCUGCACCAGCUGAACAUGGUCCUUCCUCUGCACUAACCCAGCCUCCGUCUCCAGGAUUGCCACCAACCCAACAUCAAUCUGUGCAAUUACCAUGCUCUGUUAAGCCUUUUAAUCCACAGCCCAUGACACCAUCUGAGUAUUGUAAUCAAGACCAGCCAGGUUUCUUAGAUUUAGAUGAACAUCAAAGACAAACCAUUACACAUAAUUCAACCCCAAAAGAAACAUUUUUGGGGCUUCUGUAUAACCCGUCUAUACCUCACCCCUCAGCUGAAGUUACAAUUCAGGAUGACCAGCUUGGGUUAGAGCCUGAGGAGUAUGAAGAUCCCACAGUCAGAUCACAGAAUUCUUCCUAUGAAAAUGAACAAUGGGAGCCAUGUGAAACAUGCAAGCUGGAGGUACAGGCAUUACUUAAAGAGAAUAAGAUGAUGAAAGAUGUGCUUUCCAGCAUGAAUCUUGAACACCUACAGGUACUCAGAGAAUUUAUAGAUAAGAUGGAAGACUACAAAUCACGUGAAAGUGGGGUGCUGAUGCCUCAAACCAGACCUGGCCAACAAGAACUUUACCCAGACAGUGGGCUGCUCUUGUCCUCUACCAAACUAGCAGCUAUUCACCAAGAGUCAAAGAAGGACUGUCUUCGUCUUUUCCAUCUACUGUUUGAUCAGUUCUUCACUCAUGAAGAAUGUUCAAACUCUGUAGCAUUUGGAAAGCAUGGCAAAGUCCCAGAGGGCAAGACAAUUUUUGGAUAAAAAGUAAAGUAAAUGGAAUACUAACUUAUGUCAUGAGCUGCGGCAAAUGUCAUGGAUGGAAACCAGUUGAAAAGUCAAAGCUGAAGAAAGCCCUUAUAAACAAGUGUCGCAUGAGAUCAACUUAAAUGUUUAUGUAAUUGUAGUGUUACAUCAAUGAUGUUGUGUCAUUUACUGGUAUUUUUAUUUUUGCUGUUUCUGUAUUUAAGUAUCUAUAUGUAGCUGUGCUGCAGUUUUUUUUUUUUUUUUAAAUGCUGCUUAUAAAGUGUAAAAAAGAAACUAUAUAUUUUAGUUUGAUAUUGUAGAAAACUUGUUUCUCUAAGAUUAAAAUAUGUGUCUUUACAGAGAUUGCAAAGUAUAAACAUAACUCAUGUGCAGUAUCUAACACUAUUUAAUUUUUUUUUUUUUUAUUUGAAGUGCCUUGUAAAAGAUUUCCAUAUUGUAUUUUUCUUGCCAUUGUAUUAAGCAUGAAACUUGAAACCUACAUGAGCAAAGAAAAUGUUAACCUCAUACUGAGCACAGUAAAAGCAGCCUAACGUCUGAGCAAUAAAACUUUCUGCAAGACACUAAAGAGCUCUUCCAUCUUCAUUUUAAUACAGUCUCAUGGAUGUCUUGUCUUCUCCAAAUUUACUUUAGUCUCAUUUAUGUCUAUUUGUAUGUUCCCUGGGCAAUUUUAUGAGGAAAAUGUGAAGUCAAAUCUGAAACCUAAAGUGGACACUGAUGAGAAUCACAAUCAUAAAUGCUGAGCUUAGUAAGAGCAAUCUCUGAGUGAAAACACUUUCUCUAAUUAGUGUUGAAAGAGAUUACAGCAAGACAAUAAAGAGAGUUUUAGGAGAAACAUCUGAGACACUGCUGAUACUACAACAAGAGCUAACUAAGAAUCUCAAUUAAGUGUCAGAUAUUUCUCAUGUCUCAGUUGUGUCUACUCUUAUUUCUCCUAAUCGAUUUUAGGAGAAACAUGGGAAGACAAAGCUGACACCUAAUUUAGACAAUAAAGAGAUAAUUCAAGCUUCUCUCACCACAAUCUCAGUUUUGACUCUCUUAGACAUCUCUCAUUUGCGUCUAUAUUUGUUUCUCCUAAGGAAUUUUAGGAGAAACAUCUGAUAAACAGCUGACACUUAAUCAAGAAACAUAGGAGAAUCACAACUAUGUCUCCUGAGCUUAGAAAAAGCAAC